GGCGGCGUGCUAAACACCAAGUCGAAUCGAUGAAGCGAGGAGCUUGCUCCUCCGGAUUAGUGGCGAACGGGUGAGUAACACGUGAGCAAUCUGCCCUUGACUCUGGGAUAAGCGCUGGAAACGGCGUCUAAUACCGGAUACGACCCUCGGAGGCAUCUCCUGUGGGUGGAAAGAACUUCGGUCAAGGAUGAGCUCGCGGCCUAUCAGCUUGUUGGUGAGGUAAUGGCUCACCAAGGCGACGACGGGUAGCCGGCCUGAGAGGGUGACCGGCCACACUGGGACUGAGACACGGCCCAGACUCCUACGGGAGGCAGCAGUGGGGAAUAUUGCACAAUGGGCGCAAGCCUGAUGCAGCAACGCCGCGUGAGGGACGACGGCCUUCGGGUUGUAAACCUCUUUUAGCAGGGAAGAAGCGAGAGUGACGGUACCUGCAGAAAAAGCACCGGCUAACUACGUGCCAGCAGCCGCGGUAAUACGUAGGGUGCAAGCGUUGUCCGGAAUUAUUGGGCGUAAAGAGCUCGUAGGCGGUCUGUCGCGUCUGCUGUGAAAACCCGAGGCUCAACCUCGGGCUGCAGUGGGUACGGGCAGACUAGAGUGCGGUAGGGGAGAUUGGAAUUCCUGGUGUAGCGGUGGAAUGCGCAGAUAUCAGGAGGAACACCGAUGGCGAGCAGAUCUCUGGGCCGUAACUGACGCUGAGGAGCGAAAGCGUGGGGACACAGGCUAGAUACCUGGUAGUCACGCCGUAAACGUGGAACUAGAUGUGGGGA
This 767-nucleotide ribosomal RNA is filed under the name bacterium Ph1_Loihi. RNAcentral describes it as "bacterial SSU rRNA". It matches the Rfam family "Bacterial small subunit ribosomal RNA", at positions 38 to 828 of the family's 1533-position model. The record is from RNAcentral.